Molecule: long non-coding RNA, 215 nt
Filed under: Elaeis guineensis (African oil palm)
Lineage: Eukaryota; Viridiplantae; Streptophyta; Magnoliopsida; Arecales; Arecaceae
Description: long non-coding RNA (EGUI_LNC029312)
Source: RNAcentral
UCGACUGAGCGAUGCUAUCCAUCUGAUAAAUCAUUGUACCUCUUUUAUUAUACUCGGAUGUUUCAUCUCGAGUAGCACUCAGAUCUUCUCAUGAUUAGUUUCUAUUCCUUUUUAUGUUACAAAAAAAUUCAAAAUUUUUUUAAUGUCACUCCAAAAGAGUAUUUGUUAAGAUUAAGCUUUAUUUGAUAUUUACGUAAUUCUUCAAAAACACUUCU